Molecule: ribosomal RNA, 497 nt
Filed under: uncultured bacterium
Lineage: Bacteria
Description: partial 16S ribosomal RNA
Rfam family: Bacterial small subunit ribosomal RNA
Source: RNAcentral
GAUGAACGCUGGCGGCGCGCCUAAUACAUGCAAGUCGAGCGAACAGACGAGGAGCUUGCUCCUCUGACGUUAGCGGCGGACGGGUGAGUAACACGUGGAUAACCUACCUAUAAGACUGGGAUAACUUCGGGAAACCGGAGCUAAUACCGGAUAAUAUAUUGAACCGCAUGGUUCAAUAGUGAAAGACGGUUUUGCUGUCACUUAUAGAUGGAUCCGCGCCGCAUUAGCUAGUUGGUAAGGUAACGGCUUACCAGGGCAACGAUGCGUAGCCGACCUGAGAGGGUGAUCGGCCACACUGGAACUGAGACACGGUCCAGACUCCUACGGGAGGCAGCAGUAGGGAAUCUUCCGCAAUGGGCGAAAGCCUGACGGAGCAACGCCGCGUGAGUGAUGAAGGUCUUCGGAUCGUAAAACUCUGUUAUUAGGGAAGAACAAAUGUGUAAGUAACUAUGCACGUCUUGACGGUACCUAAUCAGAAAGCCACGGCUAACUACGUG